GAAUGAUCAAGUGUCUUAAGGGCAUUUGGUGGAUGCCUUGGCAUGCACAGGCGAUGAAGGACGUGAUACGCUGCGAUAAGCGUCGGGGAGGUGCGAAUACCCUUUGAUCCGACGAUUUCCGAAUGGGGAAACCCACCUUAGAUAUCUAGAAAAUUAUUUUGGUUGGAAGAUUGAUCACAACCAUUGGACGGGCUGCCUUCCCAGAAGGACGCGCCCAUACAGACCGCUAGGUCGUCGGCCACUUUUGGCCGCCCCAGCGGAGCGCCAGUCCGAAGGACGUACGGCGCGUGAGCGAUCGGUAGAACCAAAAUAAUUUCUAGAUAUCAAAAUAAGGUAUCUAACUUUCGAAUACAUAGGGGUUAGAAGCGAACCCGGGGAACUGAAACAUCUAAGUACCCGGAGGAAAGGACAUCAAACGAGACUCCGUAAGUAGUGGCGAGCGAACGCGGACCAGGCCAGUGGCUUUUAUGAGACAAGUGGAACACCUUGGAAAGGGUGACCGAAGUGGGUGAUAGUCCCGUACACGUAAUGCGAAUAAAAGUCCUUGAGUAGGGCGGGACACGUGAAAUCCUGUCUGAACAUGGGGAGACCACUCUCCAAGCCUAAGUACUCGUGCAUGACCGAUAGCGAACCAGUACCGUGAGGGAAAGGUGAAAAGCACCCCGACAAGGGGAGUGAAAGAGAUCCUGAAACCGAAUGCCUACAAACAGUUGGAGCCCAAGAUUUGUUCUGGGUGACAGCGUACCUUUUGUAUAAUGGGUCAGCGACUUAGUCUGACGAGCAAGCUUAAACCGGUAGGUGUAGGCGCAGCGAAAGCGAGUCUGAACAGGGCGUUCAGUUCGUCGGAUUAGACCCGAAACCAAGUGAUCUAGCCAUGAGCAGGUUGAAGGUAAGGUAACACUUACUGGAGGACCGAACCCGCAUCUGUUGCAAUAGAUUGGGAUGACUUGUGGCUAGGGGUGAAAGGCCAAUCAAACUUGGAGAUAGCUGGUUCUCCGCGAAAUCUAUUUAGGUAGAGCGUCGAUCGAAUACCUUCGGGGGUAGAGCACUGGAUGGGCUAGGGGAUCUCACCGAUUUACCAAACCUAACCAAACUCCGAAUACCGAAGAGUA
Molecule: ribosomal RNA, 1112 nt
Filed under: Escherichia coli
Lineage: Bacteria; Pseudomonadati; Pseudomonadota; Gammaproteobacteria; Enterobacterales; Enterobacteriaceae
Description: partial 23S ribosomal RNA
Rfam family: Bacterial large subunit ribosomal RNA
Source: RNAcentral